UGCGUAGGCGGAUUGUUAAGUCAGUGGUGAAAGACUACGGCUCAACCGUAGAAGUGCCAUUGAUACUGGCAGUCUUGAGUACAGUAGAGGUAGGCGGAAUUUAUGGUGUAGCGGUGAAAUGCAUAGAUACCAUAAAGAACACCUAUAGCGAAGGCAGCUUACUAUGCUGUAACUGACGCUGAGGCACGAAAGCGUGGGGAGCGAACAGGAUUAGAUACCCUGGUAGUC
RNAcentral lists this ribosomal RNA (228 nucleotides) under uncultured bacterium. RNAcentral describes it as "partial 16S ribosomal RNA". It matches the Rfam family "Bacterial small subunit ribosomal RNA", at positions 568 to 795 of the family's 1533-position model. The record is from RNAcentral.